RNAcentral lists this unclassified non-coding RNA (373 nucleotides) under soil metagenome. RNAcentral describes it as "partial contains 5.8S ribosomal RNA, internal transcribed spacer 2, and large subunit ribosomal RNA". The stretch from base 1 to 121 matches the Rfam family "5.8S ribosomal RNA", at positions 35 to 154 of the family's 154-position model. The record is from RNAcentral.
GAUGAAGAACGUAGCGAAAUGCGAUAAGUAAUGCGAAUUGCAGAAUUCCAGUGAGUCAUCGAAUCUUUGAACGCACAUUGCGCCCUUUGGUAUUCCGAAGGGCAUGCCUGUUCGAGCGUCAUUAUCACCCCUCAAGCCCUCGGCUUGGUGUUGGACGGUUUGGUGGAGGCCCCCUCGGGGGCUCCUGCCCCUCCCAAAGACAAUGACGGCGGCCUCGUUGGACCCCCGGUACACUGAGUUCUUCACGGGACACGUAUCGGACACCUGGGUUUACGGGACACGGUCUGCCUCCCCUCAGGGAGAAUCUUUCUAAGGUUGACCUCGGAUCAGGUAGGGAUACCCGCUGAACUUAAGCAUAUCAAUAAGCGGAGGA